Malaclemys terrapin pileata is the source of this 289-nucleotide long non-coding RNA. RefSeq lists it as uncharacterized. The record is from RefSeq and is a predicted model, not a curated record. NCBI's taxonomy places the organism in Eukaryota, Metazoa, Chordata, Testudines, Emydidae. The transcript has 3 exons.
GCUGCAGGGUAACUUCAUCCAUCACUACGCUCCAGUUUUUGGAUAAUAACAUCUACUACCAGCCAGGAGCACCAUACCAUGGGAGGCUGAAGCUCAACAGUGCCAAUGGGAUGCCCUUGAAGAACACAGAGGUUUUUCUCACUGUAUACAGGGGCAAAAUGCAGUCUGAGACCUACCUCAGUGACCACACAGGGGUGACCUCUUUCACCUUGGACACUUCACCAUGGAGGGACAGCGACAAGGUUUCAUUACAGCAGAACAAGGAGGCACUUGGGACGUAAGAAGCAGA